CAGGAAGUAGUUUAUUGAAAAUAUUAAUUUUGGAGAUUAACGAUGAAGAAGAGAUCCUUUCUGA
RNAcentral lists this transfer RNA (64 nucleotides) under Dorcus koreanus. RNAcentral describes it as "tRNA-Pro". The record is from RNAcentral. Lineage: Eukaryota; Metazoa; Arthropoda; Insecta; Coleoptera; Lucanidae.